GUGAUCCGGGUUGCGGACAGUGUCUGGUGGGUAGUUUGACUGGGGCGGUCUCCUCCUAAAGAGUAACGGAGGAGCACGAAGGUUGGCUAAUCCUGGUCGGACAUCAGGAGGUUAGUGCAAUGGCAUAAGCCAGCUUGACUGCGAGCGUGACGGCGCGAGCAGGUGCGAAAGCAGGUCAUAGUGAUCCGGUGGUUCUGAAUGGAAGGGCCAUCGCUCAACGGAUAAAAGGUACUCCGGGGAUAACAGGCUGAUACCGCCCAAGAGUUCAUAUCGACGGCGGUGUUUGGCACCUCGAUGUCGGCUCAUCACAUCCUGGGGCUGAAGUAGGUCCCAAGGGUAUGGCUGUUCGCCAUUUAAAGUGGUACGCGAGCUGGGUUUAGAACGUCGUGAGACAGUUCGGUCCCUAUCUGCCGUGGGCGCUGGAGAACUGAGGGGGGCUGCUCCUAGUACGAGAGGACCGGAGUGGACGCAUCACUGGUGUUCGGGUUGUCAUGCCAAUGGCACUGCCCGGUAGCUAAAUGCGGAAGAGAUAAGUGCUGAAAGCAUCUAAGCACG
This 555-nucleotide ribosomal RNA is filed under the name Escherichia coli. RNAcentral's name for it is "partial 23S ribosomal RNA". It matches the Rfam family "Bacterial large subunit ribosomal RNA", at positions 2235 to 2789 of the family's 2925-position model. Lineage: Bacteria; Pseudomonadati; Pseudomonadota; Gammaproteobacteria; Enterobacterales; Enterobacteriaceae. The record is from RNAcentral.